RNAcentral lists this ribosomal RNA (254 nucleotides) under uncultured bacterium. RNAcentral's name for it is "partial 16S ribosomal RNA". It matches the Rfam family "Bacterial small subunit ribosomal RNA", at positions 524 to 776 of the family's 1533-position model. The record is from RNAcentral.
UACGUAGGGUGCAAGCGUUUGUCCGGAAUCAUUGGGCGUAAAGCGCGCGUAGGUGGCUUCGUAAGUCCGUUGUGAAAGUCAAAGGCUCAACCUUUGAAAGCCGAUGGAUACUGCGGAGCUAGAGUACGGAAGAGGCGAGUGGAAUUCCUGGUGUAGCGGUGGAAUGCGCAGAUAUCAGGAGGAACACCAAUAGCGAAGGCAGCUCGCUGGGACGUUACUGACACUAAGGCGCGAAAGCGUGGGGAGCGAACAGG